CUACGGGCUGCAGCAGUGAGGAAUAUUGGUCAAUGGGCGCAAGCCUGAACCAGCCAUGCCGCGUGAAGGAUGACAGCGCUACGCGUUGUAAACUUCUUUUGUACAGGAAGAAACGCUUCUACGUGUAGAAGUUUGACGGUACUGUACGAAUAAGCAUCGGCUAACUCCGUGCCAGCAGCCGCGGUAAUACGGAGGAUGCAAGCGUUAUCCGGAUUUAUUGGGUUUAAAGGGUACGUAGGCGGAAAAUUAAGUCAGUAGUGAAAUCCCGCAGCUUAACUGUGGAACUGUUAUUGAUACUGGUUUUCUUGAAUGUAGAUGAAGUAGGCGGAAUGCGUAAUGUAGCGGUGAAAUGCUUAGAUAUUACACAGAACACCGAUUGCGAAGGCAGCUUACUAAGCUAUGAUUGACGCUGAGAUACGAAAGCGUGGGGAGCGAACAGGAUUAGAUACCCGUGUAGUC
Molecule: ribosomal RNA, 459 nt
Filed under: uncultured bacterium
Lineage: Bacteria
Description: partial 16S ribosomal RNA
Rfam family: Bacterial small subunit ribosomal RNA
Source: RNAcentral